This 331-nucleotide ribosomal RNA is filed under the name uncultured bacterium. RNAcentral's name for it is "bacterial SSU rRNA". It matches the Rfam family "Bacterial small subunit ribosomal RNA", at positions 568 to 898 of the family's 1533-position model. The record is from RNAcentral.
CGUGUAGGCGGUCGGUCAAGUCUGAUGUGAAAGCCCGGGGCUCAGCUCCGGAAGUGCAUUGGAAACUAGCCGACUGGAGCGCGAUAGAGGAGGGUGGAAUUCCUGGUGUAGCGGUGAAAUGCGUAGAUAUCAGGAGGAACACCGGCGGCGAAGGCGGCCCUCUGGAUCGUUGCUGACGCUGAGACGCGACAGCGUGGGGAGCAAACAGGAUUAGAUACCCUGGUAGUCCACGCCGUAAACUAUGGGUACUAGGUGUUCGGGGCGUUGACCCCCUGAGUGCCGCAGCUAACGCAUUAAGUACCCGCCCUGGGACGUACGCCGCAAGGUUAAA